UAACACGUGGGCAACCUGCCUUAUAGUGGGGGAUAGCCUUUCGAAAGGAAGAUUAAUACCGCAUAAGAUUGUAGUAUCGCAUGAUAUAGCAAUUAAAGGAGCAAUUCGCUAUAAGAUGGACCCGCGUCGCAUUAGCUAGUUGGUGAGGUAAUGGCUCACCAAGGCGACGAUGCGUAGCCGACCUGAGAGGGUGAACGGCCACAUUGGGACUGAGACACGGCCCAGACUCCUACGGGAGGCAGCAUG
Molecule: ribosomal RNA, 246 nt
Filed under: uncultured bacterium
Lineage: Bacteria
Description: partial 16S ribosomal RNA
Rfam family: Bacterial small subunit ribosomal RNA
Source: RNAcentral